RNAcentral lists this ribosomal RNA (328 nucleotides) under uncultured eukaryote. RNAcentral's name for it is "partial 18S ribosomal RNA". It matches the Rfam family "Eukaryotic small subunit ribosomal RNA", at positions 1470 to 1796 of the family's 1831-position model. The record is from RNAcentral.
CCCUUAGAUGUCCUGGGCCGCACGCGCGUUACACUGAUGCAUUCAACGAGCUUAUAACCUUGGCCGAGAGGCCUGGGCAAUCUUGUUAACGUGCAUCGUGAUAGGGAUAGAUUAUUGAAAUUAUUAAUCUUGAACGAGGAAUUCCUAGUAAACGCAGAUCAUCAAUCUGCAUUGAUUACGUCCCUGCCCUUUGUACACACCGCCCGUCGCACCUACCGAUUGGAUGGCUUAGUGAGGUUGAGGGAUUGCGCUUUCGUGUUGCAUUGCUUCACGGAAAUGCGAGAACUCCAUCAAACUUGACCAUCUAGAGGAAGUAAAAGUCGUAACA